Molecule: long non-coding RNA, 743 nt
Filed under: Homo sapiens (human)
Lineage: Eukaryota; Metazoa; Chordata; Mammalia; Primates; Hominidae
Description: non-protein coding lnc-TUB-3:1
Source: RNAcentral
CAAAGUGUUACCAAGGAUGUGGAGGAACUUUAAUUGCCAUACACCGCUGGUGGGAAGGGAAAAAGUAGACCUACUUAGGAAAGCAGGUUGACAGUUUCUAAUAAAGUUAAACAGGUGGCCGGGCGCGGUGGCCCACAGGCCCACACCUAUAAUCCCAGCACUUUGAGGGGCUGAGGCAGGCAGAUCACGAAAUGUUCUUUAUCAAAAUUACGGUGUGAUUACACAAACUCUAUAUAUUUGUCAAAACUCAUCCAACCGUACAUUUAAAACUGGUUAAUAUUACUGUUUAUAUCCUGGGUGACAGAGAGAGACUCCAUCUCAAAAAAAAAAAAAAAAAAAAAAAAAAAGAAUAGGUAUUCUAACAUUUCUCUGAUGGCCAGUGAUGAUGAGCAUUUUUUCAUGUGUCUUUUGGCUGCAUAAAUGUCUUCUUUUGAGAAUCAGAUGAGUAGAUUGCAACAAUUUUUUCCCAUUCUGUAGGUUGCCUGUUCACUCUGACGGUAGUUUCUUUUGCUGUGCAGAAGCUCUUUAGUUUAAUUAGAUCCCAUUUGUCAAUUUUGGUUUUGUUGCCAUUGCUUUUGGUGUCUUAGACAUGAAGUCCUUGUCCACGCCUAUGGUAUUGAACAUGAAUGCCUAAUCUGAUCACACUUGCUCUCUUCUCUCAUUUUGUCUCAAGUAGAAAGCAUCAUGUUCAAUAACCUGGUUUUACUUAAAAUUAUACCUAUUUUAGACAGCUAGGAAAUUUU